UAGGGAAUCUUUCACAAUGGGCGAAAGCCUGAUGGAGUAACGCCGCGUGCAGGAUGAAGGCCUUCGGGUUGUAAACUGCUUUUAUAAGCGAGAAAUAUGAUGGUAACUUAUGAAUAAGGAUCGGCUAACUACGUGCC
RNAcentral lists this ribosomal RNA (137 nucleotides) under uncultured bacterium. Its description in RNAcentral is "partial 16S ribosomal RNA". It matches the Rfam family "Bacterial small subunit ribosomal RNA", at positions 355 to 509 of the family's 1533-position model. The record is from RNAcentral.